RNAcentral lists this long non-coding RNA (2590 nucleotides) under Ananas comosus (pineapple). Its description in RNAcentral is "long non-coding RNA (ACOM_LNC025580)". The record is from RNAcentral. Lineage: Eukaryota; Viridiplantae; Streptophyta; Magnoliopsida; Poales; Bromeliaceae.
UCUCUCUCUCUCUCUAUAUAUAUAUCUAUAUAUAUAUAUAUAUAUAUAUAUAUAUAUAUAUAUAUAUAUAGAAUUAGGCCACUAUACUAUCUAUAGUACCGGAGCUCCGGUACUAUAGUCUUGUUUUCGAUUUUAGGGUGUUCAAAUUAACGAUUCAUAUCGUUAAAUAUGAUCUAGAGUAUAUGAAAUUCUUAGAAAUAAAAUUUUAGUUUUUUUCGACAUCGUUUACUUAAUAAAUAAAUUAUGUCAAAAUGGACGGUGGAAAUUGAAUAAUCUUUAAAAUUUGACCAUAGGACUUUUAAAUUCAAGAUUAAGAAUGUUAACUUUAAUCUAAAUAGUUUAAAAUAUUUUCUAUCAAAAUUUGAAGAACUCUAGAUUUUUCUACACCGUUAAACUCCAAACUCGUCAUAGUAGCCAUUGAAAAUUGACAAUUUUGAAAUGGUUUGAUCAUAAAGUAAACUAUGUCGAAAAACUAUAAAUUUUAUUUCUAAAACUUUAAAUACCCUAGAUCAGUUUUAACGGUAUGGAUCGUUGAUUUGAACACCCUAAGAUCGAAAACGGGACUAUAGUACAGGAGCUCUGGUACCAGAACCCCGGUACUAUAGAUAGUAUAGGAGACUAGCUCUCUCUCUCUCUCUCUCUAUAUAUAUAUAUAAAAUAUUAUUUAAGAUUCCCGAAUCAAAGUUUUGGAAAAACCUGAGGUUUUGGUGAAGUGGUGAAACUGUUAUAGAUUUGAACUAGUAGGCUCUAAACUAUUGAUGAGGAGAACCAAAAUAUGACAGUCACAUGGGUGAUUCCGAGGAUUUAAGUGUCGUGGUACGGGGUCGUGCCGAAAACUUGCCGGCACGGUACAGUACGGUGCGUGCCGAGCCAUGCCGAUGCGUGCCGAUCAAAAAAAUUCUUAUGUGUCGACACAUAAUAGUAUGAAAUAUUUAUUUUUUUUAGCAACAAAAUAUUCUAACUAUUUAUUAUAUCCUUUUAUCACAUCUUUUGAACUUUAUUGAGGAAAUCACUUACUAAUUUAAAUAAUAGAGGGUUUUGAGCUGUGCCAUCGGCACGGGGUCUGUAUUGUGCCGGUAUCUUGUUGGCAUGGUACGGUACGGUGGAUACGACCCGUGCCGACGGGCACUUAAAACCUUGGGUGAUGCGCUGUUUUCGACUAUUCACAUUUGCUUUUAAGGUUCACUUAUUCUAUCAUAAUUUUCUAAAAAAUUAUAUAUAUUUUAAAAAGAGAUGUGAUUGGUUGGGACGUAGAAAAUGUGGUGUAGAUAAUAUGGUGUAGCUACUUACUCACGGAUGAGAGGCUUUUUUUUUUCGUAGUUCAUGGUAGGGAGUAUUUUGGCACCUUUCUGUUCAGAAUUUAGCGAUUUUUUAGUGAGGCCAAGUUUCUGGCCCAACUUUGCCCACCAAACCAACAAUCUUUCAUAGAAGAUAAACAGUUAUGCAACUGUUGCAAUUAAUACUUUCAUAAUUGCCAGCGAAAAUUCAAGGGAUAUGAGCAAUUUUUGGAAUUAUCUUAUAUUCAUGAGGGCUCAUUAUUAUGUGAUAGUGGGUGAGUUCCUUAGUGGGCGAGUUAUUGUAGGCUAGGUUCAAUAUAUUUUGUGCCUAUAAAUAGAGCGCUAGCUAAGGCCAAGGGAAGACAAGACAACAAGAGAGUAUCAUGUGUAUUGUAAUCUUUUUUUUUCUAAGUAAUUGAAAUCACUUAGUUAUUUUUAGAAAACCUCUAUCUUUUCUUUUUUUUUGCAUACUUAGUCGUAGGACGUAAAGUUUCAGACUAGCAAUAGAGAGCUAGACUUGUCCAUCUUCGAGGAGAAAUGCGGGCGCCGCACGGGCUUUACGAAAAAAAAAAAAAAAACUAUGGCCGUGACACUCGGCUCCCAAUCCAAAUGAUUUGGUGCUAAUUAGGCACUUCAAAUAUAAAAUAUGAGAAAUACGAGCAAUGCUACUAGUAGACCUUUAUCCACAAAUCGUCAUUCCUUUUUGGUCAUGCAUCUCAAUUUUUUUAUUAUAAAUUAUUAGAUGUUUUGUAAAAUUUUAAUAAGAGAGGUAAAAUUUAUAUUCUCUUUUGAGGUGUAAAAGUAGAAUUUUCUAUAAAAUAUACUGUAUUUGUGAAAUCCUAAAACACGCUAUUCCUGUUUUGAUUUUACAAAGUUUUAUCAAAAUUUGUUAAACAAAAUGAUUUUGCUAAGGAAAUUAUUCCGUUGAAUUUUAUGCAAUAUUUCAUCAAAAAAUUAUAAAGUUAAUUUAUCAAAAGUAAUAAAUUACUACUUAAUAAAAUCAAGAAUUUAAAAUUUAGACAUCUUUCUUAAUAUAAUCAUAUUAUAGUUCAAAUAAUAUUGCUAUAUUUUAACCUACAACUAUUUUGCGUGACCGUAUAUACCUGUUAAUAACUGUUAAUUUUUUACACCUUACAGGUAAAUAGAAAUAGAUAAAGAAUAAAUCGUAUAACUAAAGGAACUUAGAAACCGUAUUGUCAAAAUUUCAAGUUUAAGAAACUAUGUGCAAAAUUAAAAAAAAAAAGGAAAAAAAAUUGUACAACAAAAAUUACAGCUACCAAAAAUAUAAAAAGAGAACUUCUCUAUCUCUUUUU